Molecule: ribosomal RNA, 292 nt
Filed under: uncultured bacterium
Lineage: Bacteria
Description: partial 16S ribosomal RNA
Rfam family: Bacterial small subunit ribosomal RNA
Source: RNAcentral
UUUUCAGCCGCCGCGGUAAUACGUAGGGGGCAAGCGUUGUCCGGAUUUAUUGGGCGUAAAGAGCGUGUAGGCGGCCGUGCAGGUCCGUUGUGAAAACUGGAGGCUUAACCUCCAGACGUCGAUGGAAACCGAACGGCUAGAGUCCGGAAGAGGAGAGUGGAAUUCCUGGUGUAGCGGUGAAAUGCGCAGAUAUCAGGAAGAACACCCGUGGCGAAGGCGGCUCUCUGGGACGGUACUGACGCUGAGACGCGAAAGCGUGGGGAGCGAACAGGAUUAGAAACCCGCGUAGUCC